UGAUUGGGCGUAUAGGAUACGUAGGUGGUAAAAAAAGUUAUGUAUAACUAAAUUGGUAACAGGUAAGUACAUAAUACUUUUUACUUAAGUAUAUUUAAGGUUAAUAAAACUUAUAAAUCAGCGAUGAAAUGCCAAGAGUUUAUAGGUUUAUCCUAAUGACGAAAGUAAUUAACCAAUUUAUACUAAUACUGAGGUAUGAAAGUAGGAACAACGACGAGGAUUAGAGACCCUCUUAGUCUUACUAUAAACGAUGAGUAUGAUAUUACAAAUGUAAUAUAAAUUAACAUGAGAAUACUCCGCCUGGGUAGUACAAUCGCAAGAUUGAAACUUAACAGAAUUGGCGGGAAUCUGACCAAACGGUGGAACAUGUGGUUUAAUGCGAUAAUCCACGCAAAAUCUUACCAAUGUAUUAAACUUAAUCUUUAUAUAAUUUUUAGCAAAAUCAUAUAUUGGGUUAUUUUUUUGGUACUGCAUGGCUGUCGUCAGUUCGUACUUUGCAGUCUAGAAUUAAGUUUUUCUAACGAACGCAACUUCUGCGAUUUAUAUUAAAAUAAAAAAUUUAAAUUUUUUAUUUUUUUUUUAUUUUUUUAAAUCGAAGUUCUAUUAAUAUAUUAUAUUAAUGGGGGGAAGAUUAGGAACUGAAGUCAAGUCUUUAUGGUCUGAAUGUGUUGGGCUACACACGUGUUACAAAGGUAAAAACAAAAAGUUUCAAAAGUGCGAACUUGAGAAAAUCUUAAAAAAUUACCUUAGUUCGGAUUGUUUUCUGUAACUCGAAAACAUGAAGUUGAAAUCGUUAGUAAUCGUAAAAUAGUAUGUUACGGUGAAUGAUUAUUCAAAUUUUGCACACACCGCCCAUCACGCC
This 862-nucleotide ribosomal RNA is filed under the name Parafurgasonia sp. RNAcentral describes it as "partial small subunit ribosomal RNA". It matches the Rfam family "Bacterial small subunit ribosomal RNA", at positions 551 to 1403 of the family's 1533-position model. Lineage: Eukaryota; Ciliophora; Nassophorea; Nassulida; Furgasoniidae. The record is from RNAcentral.